Gossypium raimondii (Peruvian cotton) is the source of this 105-nucleotide small nucleolar RNA. It matches the Rfam family "Plant small nucleolar RNA R71". From Rfam's summary of the family: R71 is a member of the C/D box family of snoRNAs containing the C (UGAUGA) and D (CUGA) box motifs. Multiple nearly identical copies of this snoRNA have been identified in Arabidopsis, and it is thought to function as a 2'-O-ribose methylation guide for 18S ribosomal RNA. The record is from Rfam. Lineage: Eukaryota; Viridiplantae; Streptophyta; Magnoliopsida; Malvales; Malvaceae.
AUCCCAUGACGAGGACACUUAUGAAACAAUUCCUUGAAUUUUUCCCAGCCUCGUACAAAGAAUCAUCAUCCAAUUGUUGAAAAGUAGUUAUCUCAUUUUGCAACU